AAGCUAAUACCGGAUAAUAUUUUGUAACCGCAUUGUUCAAAAGUGAAAGAACGGUCUUGCUGUCACUUAUAGAUGGAUCCGCGCUGCAUUAGCUAGUUGGUAAGGUAACGGCUUACCAAGGCAACGAUGCAUAGCCGACCUGAGAGGGUGAUCGGCCACACUGGAACUGAGACACGGCCCAGACUCCUACGGGAGGCAGCAGCC
RNAcentral lists this ribosomal RNA (204 nucleotides) under uncultured Staphylococcus sp. RNAcentral's name for it is "partial 16S ribosomal RNA". It matches the Rfam family "Bacterial small subunit ribosomal RNA", at positions 160 to 355 of the family's 1533-position model. Lineage: Bacteria; Bacillati; Bacillota; Bacilli; Caryophanales; Staphylococcaceae. The record is from RNAcentral.